CCUACGGGUGGCAGCAGUGGGGGAUAUUGCACAAUGGGGGGAACCCUGAUGCAGCGACGCCGCGUGGGUGAAGAAGCGCCUCGGCGCGUAAAGCCCUGUCAGCAGGGAAGAAAAUGACGGUACCUGAAGAAGAAGCCCCGGCUAACUACGUGCCAGCAGCCGCGGUAAUACGUAGGGGGCAAGCGUUAUCCGGUUUUACUGGUUUUAACGGGUGCGCAGGCGGGUCUUGAAGAAGGCGGUGAAAUCGCGGGGCUCAACCCCGCCGAGCCGUCGGAACUGGGGGCCUGGAGUGCGGCGGAGGCAUGCGGAAUGCGCGGUGUAGCGGUGAAAUGCAUAGAGAUCGCGCAGAACCCCGAUUGCGAAGGCAGCGUGCCGUGCCGCCACUGACGCUGAGGCACGAAAGCGCGGGGAUCGAACAGGAUUAGAUACCCUUGUAGUC
RNAcentral lists this ribosomal RNA (439 nucleotides) under uncultured bacterium. RNAcentral describes it as "partial 16S ribosomal RNA". It matches the Rfam family "Bacterial small subunit ribosomal RNA", at positions 338 to 795 of the family's 1533-position model. The record is from RNAcentral.